UGGGGAAUUUUGGACAAUGGGCGAAAGCCUGAUCCAGCCAUGCCGCGUGCAGGAUGAAGGCCUUCGGGUUGUAAACUGCUUUUGUACGGAACGAAAAGACUCUGGUUAAUACCUGGGGUCCAUGACGGUACCGUAAGAAUAAGCACCGGCUAACUACGUGCCAGCAGCCGCGGUAAUACGUAGGGUGCAAGCGUUAAUCGGAAUUACUGGGCGUAAAGCGUGCGCAGGCGGUUAUAUAAGACAGAUGUGAAAUCCCCGGGCUCAACCUGGGAACUGCAUUUGUGACUGUAUAGCUAGAGUACGGCAGAGGGGGAUGGAAUUCCGCGUGUAGCAGUGAAAUGCGUAGAUAUGCGGAGGAACACCGAUGGCGAAGGCAAUCCCCUGGGCCUGUACUGACGCUCAUGCACGAAAGCGUGGGGAGCAAACAGGAUUAGAUACCCUGGUAGUCCACGCCCUAGACGAUGUCAACUGGUUGUUGGGUCUUCACUGACUCAGUAACGAAGCUAACGCGUGAAGUUGACCGCCUGGGGAGU
Molecule: ribosomal RNA, 533 nt
Filed under: uncultured bacterium
Lineage: Bacteria
Description: partial 16S ribosomal RNA
Rfam family: Bacterial small subunit ribosomal RNA
Source: RNAcentral